CUUGGGCCACUCCCGUGGCAUAUGGAGGGUCCCAGGCUAGUGGUCUAAUCGGAGCUGCAGCUGCCAGCCUAUACCACAGCCACAGCAACGCGGGAUCCGAGCCGAGUCUGCAACCUACACCACAGUUCACGGCAACGCCGGACUGUUAACCCACUGAGCAAGGGCAGGGACCGAACCCGCAACCUCAUGGUUCCUAGUCGGAUUCGUUAACCACUGCGCCACGACGGGAACUCCUAUAGGAGUGGCCAGCUUGCUGGAGAAUAACAUCAAUUUCAAAUUCUUGGCUUGGGUAUAGAAUUCAUAGGCCGGCCACUUCUUCCAUUUGGCAGAGACAAAAUCAAGUCCAUCGGAUGGUGGCUUUGCAUGUCCAUACUUGUCAGCGUGACCAAAGCACAGCCUUAAGGGAGCAAAGGCUACAGCAAGAUGAAGAAGUUCAAACUCAAAAGUGAGAUUCACUGGUUUCAAGGAAUUUUUUUUUUUUUAAAUGAGACUCUCAUUCCUUAAAGACAUACCCUCAACUGAAAAUACACACGCCAAAACCAAAACAACCCAAAAAAACCCCACCAUGAAUUACUCUUUCACCAAAUUCCUACAAAACCACGGUGGAUCAGCCUAUUCAUAAGAAAAUGACGUCUUCCACAGCAUGUAUCUCAAGCAAAAACUAAGCUGGGCAAAUAGUCAAGCCUAUUUUCUUUACUGUUCUAGGACAUUUCAUGGUGUCUAUUUCUCAGUAUUGGGUUUCUAAUUAAACUGGAUUUGCUUAGGUUUGUUUGAAAUGGUAUGUAUAUACAUUUAGCUAUUAAUAAGUAUAACAAUAUACUUGUAGUAAGUUCAUUAUAUACUUAUAUGAUAUACAUAGAAUAUGUUAUUAACUCAUCAGUAAGUAUAAGAAAUCAUCGGCUGACUGUGGCCCCAAGUUGUCCCAGAGGGGAUUUGAAUUUUUGGGGGGUGUACACCACAGCAAUUUAUAAUUUUUAAGGGUUAUACUCCAUUUAUAGUUAUAUUGGCUGUAUUUCCUAUGAUUUACAAUACAUCCUUGUAGUUUAUUUAAUUUUUGCUUUUUAGGGCCACACCUACGGCAUAUGGAAGUUCCCAGGCUAGGGGUUGAAUGGGAGCUACAGCUGCCAGCCUACACCACAGCCACAGCAACUCGGGAUUUGAGCUGCAUCUGCAACCAACACCACAGCUCACAGUAACACUGGAUCCCCGACCCACUGAGCGAGGUCAGGGAUCAAACUCACAUCCUCAUGGAUACUCAUUGGAUUUUUUUCCACUGUAGCACAACAGGGAACUCCUAUUUUAUACUUAGUGGUUUGUACCUCUUAAUCCCCUACCCCUGUUGCCCUCCUUCCCUCUCCCUGGUAACCACUAGUUUAUUCUUGGUAUCUGUUUUGUUUUUUUUUUUAAAUAUUCACUCAUUUGUUGUAUUUUUCAGAUUCCACAUAUAAGUGAUAUCACAUAGCAUUUGUCUUUCUCUGACUUAUAUCACUUAGCAUAAUGCCCUCUAAGUCCAUCCAUGUUGUUACAAAUGGCAACAUUUCCUUCUUAGGAGGCACAUGGGGGUUUAAUAAACCUACUGAGGAUAAAGCUCAGCAGCUGUUCCAUGCCCUAAGCAAGUUGUCUGCUGAUUUCUUAGCAUGAACAAUUAAACCUGAAAAUAAACUUUUUAUUAAAUGCAAAGCUAGAGUUAUUAAAAGUGGCAUAUACUGGGCUAUGACUUCACUGAUAAUUGAAUUAGUACACUGUCAUUUUUCUUUACUUUGCCUCAAUGUGUUCUUCAUUAAAGUGAAAAAAAUAACAAUUUUUAAAAAAGCAUAUUAUCCUUAAUCCAUUGCAUUAGCCUAGUUAUUAGUUAAAUCAUUGUUGGAAGGAAAAGUGGUCCCACUGCUGUUCUUCUAUUAAAUGACUAUAACUUUAAAUGAGCUGUAGCUAACGGAAGAGAGCUCAGACUGUCUUCUGAAACUGUAGCAGUUGCAAGAAAACAAAAAUACAGAAGUUCCAAUUACUUCCUAAUGUUCACUUCACAUAUCAUAUAUGAAAUCAAAUUCCAGAAAUUAUAAUGUCCAUUCCUGUGAAAUGGCUGCAAAUUCAACCUGGUUUUAAAAUUUUGUGUUGAAGAAAGAUUUUUUUUUUAAAAAAAAGAACUUAAAAUCUUUACCAAGCACCUGGUAGGUCUACUGAUGUUGUUUUUAGUUCUACUGACAAGCUCUAUAAAACACAGGUGCUUAGGAGUUCCCGUUGCGGCUCAGCAGUUAACGAACACGACUAGGAUUCAUGAGGAUGUGGAUUCGAUCCCUGGCCUCGUUCAGUGGGUUAAAGAUCUGGCGUUGCUGUGAGCUGUGGUAUAGGUUGCAGAAGCUGCUUGGAUCUGGUGUGUCUGUGACUGUGGUGUAGGCCAGCAGCUGUAGUUCUGAUUGGACCCCUUGCCUGGGAACCUCCAUAUGCCGCGGGUGUGGCCCUAGAAAAAUUAAAAAUAAAACAUAGGUGCUUAAAGUUGUUUUGUUUUUAAACAUUCUCACUCUAAGAUGGCACAAACUGUUAAGAAAGUAAUAUACUAAAACUAGGUAUUUGUAUUGCCAACCCAUAAUCCUGAAUAUCUUUUAUUCAGAACAUAGCUUGUGUAGCUUCCACUUGGUUCCUUAUUCAUUUUCUCCUUUCACUUUAUUAAAAUAAAUCAGUAAAACUAUCCACAAUUUAAGACAACAGCAAGGCCUAUAAAUGCAGGUUUCGGAUUCAAAUUUCUCUGGGAAAUGUUUUCCUUCCAAUUCUCUCUGCCCUGGGAUUUCAUGUUUUCCCUUUUAUUGGUGGCAUCCAAUACCUCCAAUUUUUAACAUUUUCAGACAUGUGUUUCUCUGUAGGUUAAAAGGAAGGAAGUUUAUUCAAACAGCUAAUUCCCAAGUUUAAAGUUCUCAUAUAAUGUAGUUUUUGCUCACGUCUCAAUGACAUAAUUCCCUAAGCUUAAACCAUCAAACAUGAUUACCUCUCUUUGUGCAAAAAGCCACAUACUACAAAUAGUUUUUGUCACAAAACGGUAUUCAUGUAUAAAAGAAAGAAUAGAUACAAGAUUUUACUUAUAAAAGAUUGCUAAAAUAUGUAGCUCCCUUAUAAUCAUAUACUGUUGAACUGCUCCAACUGACUAGUUCUCAACACCAUUUUCUCAGCAAACUUUGCUUUCUCUCUUCCUGCUAAGCAGAAACCUUAAAAAACAGAUCAGAAGCAUUUUAAUGAAGUAGAUGAAAACAGCCAAAAGUUCUUGAAGCCCUACAGAAAAACUGUAGAUGUGAUCAGGCCCUGACAUGUCACGUCUUCUGUACCCUCAUCGUCUCUCCUGCCCUAUUUCACAUACUCUGGUAAGUCGGUUCCUCUGGCUACUGGAUACGACCUGAGAUUUAAAAAGCAAAAACGCUGUCAUAAUACGCUUUGUAAAAUCUUGAAUGUCGUAAAGGAAGUGGAAGAGGCAUUUACCUACAGUGUGAUUUGGUUUUUGCCAUAAAAAAGCAAAUUUAAACCUGAGAAGUAAAGAGCCCAUUGACUGCAUUCACUUACAGGAGAACAAGACUUCCUGACAGAAGUUCAAAUGCACCCUACCCCGUGGGCUGGGGAGUGUUAUACACCCCACACUGUCUUGGGGUGAAGCAGGAUUAUGGCUACGACAAUACUCCACAGUGGCCAGAUGCCACAAGUACAGUCAGUAGCAACGGAGUCAUUUCUAAGUCAGCUACAGAAAGUAACCCCAAAUAUCACUUCCCUAGAAAUACUGGCCAGUGCUCUAUCGGGAAAAUAGAUUUUGAAGAAUGACCCAUAAAACUUCAAAAUUGAGACCCCAUUCCUUAUCAUUCAAUAGGAAAUUUAAAAAAGAAAACCGAAAGGAUUUCGCUUUCCUAACGCAUGGCUACUCCUCUGCUUGGUUGUUCUUAAAAAUAAUUUAUGUAAAGCAGGAUUUUCUCUAAAUAUACCGUGCUCUCUCAUACACAUUGCAAAUGAUAUUUGCAUACACCGAGUGUAUGCACUGAUACACACAUGGUAAAAAGUUAAAAAAUAUAGACUGCAUAAAUCAGAAGCUGAUUUUAAACAGACACCAACUUCAACAGAUUUGUUUGCAAUUUCUGAAUUCUUCAGGUAGAAAAGAUCUUUCUUGCUGGCUACGAUUGUAGAAGAUGUUUAUGUUCUAUAGAGUGUGCAAAAAUGCUUCUCCAUAUAAACAAAGAAAGAAAGGUUCCAGGAUCUUGGUAUUCUAACCUUGCCUUUGCUAUUAAAUAUCCAUCCAAUGACUGUGAGGAGACUGGUGAAAUCAGCCGGUCAUGCUACAGUAAACAUGGUAUUUUGUGCACUGCCCAAGACAUUUUUUCUCAUGAAUAUAAGUCACCUGCCAUUUAUUAUGAGAUUUUUUUUUCCCCGACUGACACCCCAUUAUGUAUAUUCAGUCAAGCUCAAACAAGAUUUCAAGUGAUCAAUACACUAUUGGUGCUGAAAGUCUAUUAGCCACUCUAGCAAUAAACUCUGCAGCGAAACGAAGAAUGGAGAAAUAUUUAGUGAACUGAAUUACACAGAAGUCCAUGUUUAGGGGCAAGGGAACAGAAAGAGGGAGGCAGAAAAGCAAGGGGAAGACAAGGGAAGGAAGACAUUUUUCCUAAUAAAAAUCAGCUUUCUGGAGCCUGACCAAUGAUCAAAUGCAUUAAAUGCCUAAGAAUUGUUUCAAAAAUAUCUUAAAUUACAUGGUGAGGUCUCUAAAGAAACAGGGAGGGGUCUUCCUCUGGGUCCCUUUCUGAGAACAGAGAGUUGCUUCCAUAAAGAACCAUACGUGGAAGUAUUUGAUAUCCCAAAGUGGAGAAGGCAGGCCGAUGGUAAAAUCCUGCACCAUCCAGUGUCUAUGUGUCCAAGAGCAAUGCCGUGUUUGAACACUUUUCACUUUAUAUCUGAAGCGUAGCAGAUCUCAACAGGGAGCUGAGCUCAAGAAGUAUUCUGGUUCAUCUAUGCAUUAGGAAAGCUAACUCAAUAGCCGCCAAAGGAUUUCACCUGGCACAAAAGAAUGCUGCU
RNAcentral lists this long non-coding RNA (5037 nucleotides) under Sus scrofa (pig). Its description in RNAcentral is "lncRNA (ENSSSCG00030067768.1)". Lineage: Eukaryota; Metazoa; Chordata; Mammalia; Artiodactyla; Suidae. The record is from RNAcentral.